AUUGAACGCUGGCGGCAUGCUUUACACAUGCAAGUCGAACGGCAGCGCGGGCUUCGGCCUGGCGGCGAGUGGCGAACGGGUGAGUAAUACAUCGGAACGUGCCCAGUAGUGGGGGAUAGCUCGGCGAAAGCCGGAUUAAUACCGCAUACGACCUGAGGGUGAAAGCGGGGGAUCUUCGGACCUCGCGCUAUUGGAGCGGCCGAUGGCAGAUUAGCUAGUUGGUGGGGUAAAGGCCUACCAAGGCGACGAUCUGUAGCUGGUCUAAGAGGACGACCAGCCACACUGGGACUGAGACACGGCCCAGACUCCUACGGGAGGCAGCAGUGGGGAAUUUUGGACAAUGGGCGAAAGCCUGAUCCAGCAAUGCCGCGUGUGUGAUGAAGGCCUUCGGGUUGUAAAGCACUUUUGGCGGGAACGAAAAGGACUGUGCCAAUACCACGGUUCGAUGACGGUACCCGCAGAAUAAGCACCGGCUAACUACGUG
This 484-nucleotide ribosomal RNA is filed under the name uncultured bacterium. RNAcentral's name for it is "partial 16S ribosomal RNA". It matches the Rfam family "Bacterial small subunit ribosomal RNA", at positions 29 to 507 of the family's 1533-position model. The record is from RNAcentral.